Molecule: ribosomal RNA, 445 nt
Filed under: uncultured bacterium
Lineage: Bacteria
Description: bacterial SSU rRNA
Rfam family: Bacterial small subunit ribosomal RNA
Source: RNAcentral
CCUACGGGGGGCAGCAGUGGGGAAUAUUGCACAAUGGGCGCAAGCCUGAUGCAGCAACGCCGCGUGAGGGAUGAAGGCCUUCGGGUUGUAAACCUCUUUUAGCAGGGAAGAAGCGAAAGUGACGGUACCUGCAGAAAAAGCACCGGCUAACUACGUGCCAGCAGCCGCGGUAAUACGUAGGGUGCAAGCGUUGUCCGGAAUUAUUGGGCGUAAAGAGCUCGUAGGCGGUUUGUCACGUCUGCUGUGAAAAUCCAAGGCUCAACCUUGGACUUGCAGUGGGUACGGGCAGGCUAGAGUGCGGUAGGGGAGAUGGGAAUUCCUGGUGUAGCGGUGGAAUGCGCAGAUAUCAGGAGGAACACCAAUGGCGAAGGCACAUCUCUGGGCCGUAACUGACGCUGAGGAGCGAAAGCGUGGGGAGCGAACAGGAUUAGAUACCCCCGUAGUC